UGAGAAUGACGCCGGAACAACAUGAGGGUGUUUACACCAGCGCGAAAGCGUGGCAGUCAUGCCGGGUAUUCUCCUUAUC
RNAcentral lists this non-coding RNA (79 nucleotides) under unclassified sequences. RNAcentral's name for it is "DUF3800-VII RNA". It matches the Rfam family "DUF3800-VII RNA". The record is from RNAcentral.